This 408-nucleotide ribosomal RNA is filed under the name uncultured bacterium. RNAcentral describes it as "bacterial SSU rRNA". It matches the Rfam family "Bacterial small subunit ribosomal RNA", at positions 354 to 776 of the family's 1533-position model. The record is from RNAcentral.
GUGGGGAAUAUUGGGCAAUGGGGGCAACCCUGACCCAGCAACGCCGCGUGAAGGAAGAAGGCUUUCGGGUUGUAAACUUCUUUGACCAGGGACGAAAGAAAUGACGGUACCUGGAAAACAAGCCACGGCUAACUACGUGCCAGCAGCCGCGGUAAUACGUAGGUGGCAAGCGUUGUCCGGAUUUACUGGGUGUAAAGGGCGCGUAGGCGGGAUAGCAAGUCAGGAGUGAAAUCUAUGGGCUUAACCCAUAAACUGCUUUUGAAACUGUUAUUCUUGAGUAUCGGAGAGGCAGGCGGAAUUCCUAGUGUAGCGGUGAAAUGCGUAGAUAUUAGGAGGAACACCAGUGGCGAAGGCGGCCUGCUGGACGACAACUGACGCUGAGGCGCGAAAGCGUGGGGAGCAAACAGG